UACGAAGGGGGCUAGCGUUGCUCGGAAUCACUGGGUGUAAAGGGUUCGUAGGCGGUGCGGCAAGUCGGGCGUGAAAUCUCUGGGCUUAACCCAGAGGCUGCUUCCGAAACUGCUGUGCUUGAGUAUGGGAGAGGCGCGUGGAAUUGCAGGUGUAGCGGUGAAAUGCGUAGAUAUCUGCAGGAACACCCGUGGCGAAAGCGGCGCGCUGGACCACUACUGACGCUGAGGAACGAAAGCUAGGGGAGCAAACAGG
RNAcentral lists this ribosomal RNA (253 nucleotides) under uncultured bacterium. Its description in RNAcentral is "partial 16S ribosomal RNA". It matches the Rfam family "Bacterial small subunit ribosomal RNA", at positions 524 to 776 of the family's 1533-position model. The record is from RNAcentral.